This 423-nucleotide ribosomal RNA is filed under the name uncultured bacterium. Its description in RNAcentral is "bacterial SSU rRNA". It matches the Rfam family "Bacterial small subunit ribosomal RNA", at positions 354 to 774 of the family's 1533-position model. The record is from RNAcentral.
GUAAGGAAUAUUGGACAAUGGAGGCAACUCUGAUCCAGCCAUGCCGCGUGAAGGAAUAAGGCCCUAUGGGUUGUAAACUUCUUUUAGACGGGACAAAACCCCUUUACGUGUAAAGGGUUGAUGGUACUGUCAGAAUAAGCAUCGGCUAACUUCGUGCCAGCAGCCGCGGUAAUACGAAGGAUGCAAGCGUUAUCCGGAAUUAUUGGGUUUAAAGGGUGCGUAGGCGGACUAAUAAGUCAGUGGUGAAAGCCUGCAGCUUAACUGCAGAAUUGCCAUUGAUACUGUUAGUCUUGAGUACAGUUGAGGUAGGCGGAAUGUGUCAUGUAGCGGUGACAUGCUUAGAUAUGACACAGAACACCGAUUGCGAAGGCGGCUUGCUAAGCUGUAACUGACGCUGAGGCACGAAAGCGUGGGGAGCAAACA